CCCGUCUGUCUCACCCCUCCCUCCCGUCUGUCUCCCUCCCCCCUCUGUCAGGGGGGAGACAUACAGCCCCCGGUCUCCUUCCUCUGCUCUGAGGGGGUCCAGGCCCUUGUUCUUUUGAGGGGUACGGCCUCCUUCAUCCAGACACCUGGACCCCGCCCUGAGCCCUGAGCCCUGAGCGCCCCCUCAGUAUAACCCCGCCCCCCUCAGUAUAACCCCGCCCCCCUCAGUAUAACCCCGCCCCCCCCUCUCACAGCUUUGACAGUGAGCUGUGUUGAUCUUAGUAUUGACAGUAUCAGGCGGGCGACCACACAGGGGUCACCUCCCCAUCGGUCCAGCGUUGGGCCCACCAGGUGAUGACAGUGUUGUGCCUCGGCCCAAACAAAGGCCGGUGUCUUACUGCGCAGGCCAGGUGGCUGUACUACGAAUAUACGCUUCAUGGCUGUUGAACCCACGCGCAGAGUUCUCUUCUUUUGUCCAUGUGAGAGUACACGGAUGGUACUGGUGUUGCACACCCCCCGUCAGAACACGCCUUUUGACUCAGACAAAGCGCCAGGAAGUGUUAACCCCGGGCUUAUUAUGUAAAGGAAAGCGUUGAUCUGAAUUCCACCUUUUUACAUGUCUCGUUCUUUGGAAGGAUGUUACUUUUACUUAUUAGGGAUGUGUGCGGUUUGUUUUCCCCCACUAGACUGAAGCCUUGUGCUAGCUCUGUCCCCCCCCCGGGCCCCUCCCUGAUUUAGAAGAAACCCCUUAACGUCCGUUGAUUAGUUUUUAGAUGCAGAGAAACAACAGUUCAGCAAGAAAAUGGCCAAAAGCCGCUCUUUGAUUGUAAAUACAGCUUCUCCGUGAAUCUAUAUAUUAGGAAAAAAAAAUGACAAAAAUAUUUUUUGCACAGUUUGUGAUAUGUAUAUCUAUAUAAUUGAAAAAGAAAAGUUUAUAUCCUAGUUACAUAGCUUUAGUUUCCCUGCCAUUUCAAGCAAGCACAAGUAAGGAAUAGAUUAAAAAAAAGAUGCUACCUCUUGGGAGAUCUGUGUGUGUGUGUGUGUGUGUGUGUGUGUGUGUGUGUGUGUGUGUGUGUGUGUGUGUGUGUGUGUGUGUGUGUGUGUGUGUGUGUGUGUGUGUGUGUGUGUGUGUGUGUGUGUGUGUGUGUGUGUGUGUGUGUGUGUGAUGAGCUAGACCGAAACGUUCCGUGGCAUAGAGUCUGGCACCAGGUUAACUUUGUCGUUACAUCCAAGGCAGUGCCAAAUAUAAAGCUAUGGUGCUCAUGUUGUCAUAACGUGUGUUGAUUCAGAACGGGCCGUUGAUUGACCACCUCUCCCUUCGGCCCCGCCCCACGCCGCGUGGUACGCGUGUUUCUUUCUCCUUCCUGUUCAGAAGAGGAUCAUUACAGUACUCGUCAGGCGCGGCUAGUGUGUUUUAGUGUGAAACAUUCCAGCAGUGUCUUAUAACAAAGAAUCAUUCACGGUCCAGUGACUCCAGUUACUAAAAACCAUCCACUUUUAGUUUGUUCACGUCGGAUCACAAGUCCUAUCGUAUAAAUCGACGUGAUGUUUCUCAUCCCCCAUACCAGGAAUGUUUGAUCGCUAGGCGACGGGACGACUCUGUGGUUACUUCAUAUUGAGAUUCCAGUUGGUCACAGAGAGAGUGGCAGUAUUUUAGUUAAGUUAAACAUUUUGUAAUACUCAACAAUGGGAUUUUUGUGUAACUUGGUCUUCUCAGUUUGUUUGGUCUCUGACAGCUUCGGUGAGGGAUUUAAUAUCUUGGUGUGCAAAGGAAUCUUGGGUGUUUUAAAGACUGAUUUUCAGAUUACUGCAAUUGCUGUUAAUUUUUAAAUGUAAGCCUUCAGUGUUUUUGCUAUUAAAAAUUCCUGUUAUGGCAUCAAAUGAAA
Gadus macrocephalus (Pacific cod) is the source of this 1885-nucleotide long non-coding RNA. RefSeq lists it as uncharacterized. The record is from RefSeq and is a predicted model, not a curated record. Lineage: Eukaryota; Metazoa; Chordata; Actinopteri; Gadiformes; Gadidae. The transcript is spliced from 2 exons.